RNAcentral lists this transfer RNA (66 nucleotides) under Elateroidea sp. 1 KM-2017. Its description in RNAcentral is "tRNA-Arg". The record is from RNAcentral. Lineage: Eukaryota; Metazoa; Arthropoda; Insecta; Coleoptera.
AAAUAAGAAACAAAAAUGUAACUAAUUUCGACUUAGUAAAUUGAUGAUAAAAUUCAUCCUUAUUUA